GACGAACGCUGACGGCGUGCUUAACACAUGCAAGUCGAAGGGAGUGGCGAACGGGUGAGGAACACGUGAGUAACCUGCCCUUUUCUUUGGGAUAAGCCUGGGAAACUGGGUCUAAUACUGGAUGGAUUGGGAUGGGCUCGCGGCUUAGCAGCUUGUGGGUGGGGUGAUGGCGUAUCAAGGCUUUGACGGGUAGCAGGCCUGAGAGGGUGGUCGGUCACACUGGGACUGAGAUACGGCCCAGACUCCCACGAGAGGCAGCAGUGGGGAAUAUUGCACAAUGGGCGCAAGCCUGAUGCAGCCAUGCCGCGUGUAUGAAGAAGGCCUUCGGGUUGUAAAGUACUGUCAGCGGGGAGGCGUUACCCGCAGAAGAAGCACCGGCUAACUACGUGCCAGCAGCCGCGGUAAUUC
This 408-nucleotide ribosomal RNA is filed under the name uncultured bacterium. RNAcentral's name for it is "partial 16S ribosomal RNA". It matches the Rfam family "Bacterial small subunit ribosomal RNA", at positions 28 to 526 of the family's 1533-position model. The record is from RNAcentral.